UACAGAGGUCCCAAGCGUUGUUCGGAUUUACUGGGCGUAAAGGGUGCGUAGGUGGCGAGGUAAGUUCGAUGUGAAAUCUCCGAGCUCAACUCGGAAAUGGCAUUGAAUACUAUCCCGCUUGAGGGUCGGAGGGGAGACUGGAAUUCUCGGUGUAGCAGUGAAAUGCGUAGAUAUCAUGAGGAAUACCAGAGGCGAAGGCGGCUACCUGGCCCAUUCUUGACGCUGAGGCGCGAAAGCUAGGGGAGCGAACGGG
Molecule: ribosomal RNA, 253 nt
Filed under: uncultured bacterium
Lineage: Bacteria
Description: partial 16S ribosomal RNA
Rfam family: Bacterial small subunit ribosomal RNA
Source: RNAcentral